AUUAGUUUUUUAAUUGAAGGCUAGAAUGAAUGGUUGGACAAGAAAUAAUCUGUCUCAGAUCAAUAUAUUGAAUUUAACUUUUAAGUGAAAAGGCUUAAAUAAUCUGAAGGGACGAUAAGACCCUAUAAAACUUUAUAUUUAGAAGUGAUAGGUAAGUUUUGUUUGUAGUUUAAUUACUUUAAAAUAUUUGGUUGGGGUGACAAGGAUAGAAUAACAAGUAACUGUUUUUUUUUUUAACAAUGAUGUUUGGAUCGGUGAUCCUAAAAGGAUUAAAAGAUUAAGUUACUUUAGGGAUAACAGCGUAAUUUUCUUUAAGAGUUCUUAUCGAUAAGAGAGUUUGCGACCUCGAUGUUGAAUUAAAGGUUCUUUAUGGAGUAGAGACUAUAAGAGAAGGUCUGUUCGACCUUUAAAACUUUACAUGAUUUGAGUUCAGACCGGUGUGAG
Molecule: ribosomal RNA, 444 nt
Filed under: Cambarus bouchardi
Lineage: Eukaryota; Metazoa; Arthropoda; Malacostraca; Decapoda; Cambaridae
Description: partial 16S ribosomal RNA
Rfam family: Bacterial large subunit ribosomal RNA
Source: RNAcentral